Molecule: transfer RNA, 67 nt
Filed under: Dictyosquilla foveolata
Lineage: Eukaryota; Metazoa; Arthropoda; Malacostraca; Stomatopoda; Squillidae
Description: tRNA-Phe
Source: RNAcentral
UUCAUAUAGAUCAUAUCUUAGAUCAUGACACUGAAGAUGUUAAGGAGAUUAUUUUAAUCUAUGAAUA